UUGUACUCACUUCGGUGGCAAAUUUACUAAAAUUGGAACUAUACAGAGAAGAUUAGCAUGGCUCCUGCGCAAAAUCGUGGAGCGUUCCUCAUUUUU
RNAcentral lists this small nuclear RNA (96 nucleotides) under Rhodnius prolixus. The record is from RNAcentral. Lineage: Eukaryota; Metazoa; Arthropoda; Insecta; Hemiptera; Reduviidae.